Molecule: RNA transcript, 2803 nt
Organism: Ostrea edulis (European flat oyster)
Lineage: Eukaryota; Metazoa; Mollusca; Bivalvia; Ostreida; Ostreidae
Gene name: dynein light chain Tctex-type protein 2B-like
Exons: 5
Source: RefSeq, a predicted model, not a curated record
UCUCCCAUAAUGCAACGUUGUCAGGGACUCCAUUUUACUUGUUUUGAUGAAGCGGUAAUAAGAGUUUAACACGUUUUAAAGAUGACGGACACUGCAGUAGAUGACACGACCACCAGUAACACGUACAUCAUUAGACCAAACUUCCAACACAAAUUUAGACCUGUGAUUGUAAAAGAAACCAUACAUAAUGUAUUGAAUGAACACUUAAGUGGGAAAACAUAUGACACAGAGGAAACCACAGAGUGGACACGACUGAUAUCAGACGACAUCAAACUCAAAUUAAAAGAUCUGGGAUAUGACAGAUAUAAAUUUGUGGUACAAGUUGUUAUCGGGGAACAAAGAGGGGAGGGUGUAAAGAUGGGAUGUCGGUGCUUCUGGGAUUCUGAUACAGACAGCUACGCUCAGGAUAUAUUUAUGAAUGUAAGUCAAGUAGUCCACGAUAUAGGUGUAUGAUUAGAGAUCUCGGGUAGUCCAUAAUAUAGGUGUAUGAGAUCUCGGGUAGUCCAUGAUAUAGGUGUGUGAUUAGAGAUCUCAGGUAGUCCACGAUAUAGGUGUAUGAUUAGAGAUCUCAGGUAGUCCACGAUAUAGGUGUAUGAUUAGAGAUCUCGGGUAGUCCACGAUAUAGGUGUAUGAUUAGAGAUCUCGGGUAGUCCAUGAUAUAGGUGUAUGAUGGGAGAUCUCGGGUAGUCCACGAUAUAGGUGUAUGAUUAGAGAUCUCGGGUUGUCCAUAAUAUAGGUGUGUGAUUAGAGAUCUUGAGUAGUCCAUGAUAUAGGUGUAUGAGAUCUCGGGUUGUCCAUGAUAUAGGUGUGUGAUUAGAGAUCUCGGGUAGUCCAUGAUAUGGGUGUGUGAUUAGAGAUCUCAGGUAGUCCAUGGUAUAGGUGUGUGAUUAGAGAUCUCAGGUAGUCCAUGAUAUAGGUGUAUGAUUAGAGAUCUCGGGGUGUAUGAGAUCUCGAGUAGUCCACGAUAUAGGUGUAUGAGAUCUCAGGUAGUCCAUGAUAUAGGUGUAUGAUGGGAGAUCUCGGGUAGUCCACGAUAUAGGUGUAUGAGAUCUCAGGUAGUCCAUGAUAUAGGUGUAUGAUGGGAGAUCUCGGGUAGUCCACAAUAUAGGUGUAUGAUUAGAGAUCUUGGGUAGUCCAUGAUAUAGGUGUAUGAUUAGAGAUCUCGGGUUGUCCAUGAUAUAGGUGUAUGAGAACUCGGGUUGUCCAUGAUAUAGGUGUAUGAGAUCUCGGGUAGUCCACGAUAUAGGUGUGUGAUUAGAGAUCUCGGGUAGUCCAUGAUAUAGGUGUGUGAUUAGAGAUCUUGUGUUGUGCUUGAUAUAGACGUAUAAUCGUUGGAGAUCUUUAGUAAAUGAUGGAACAGAUGGAGACAAAUCAAAACUUAGAUCAGCCCUAUAAUUUCCAUAGCAAAAAUGGAAGAUUCAUUGUGGUUAUAAAAUCAUUGAGAGAAGAUUAAGCCUUCCAGUGUAGUACAUAUGUACAUGUAUAUGCUAAUUACACAAUGGUAAAGGCCUUAAAACUAAUUUAUCAUAUAGCUAAUAAUUUGUUAGUUACAAACUGUUCUCUAGUUCAAGAAUAUUUUAGCAUGCAAUAUGUGGGCCAUUAUUGAAUGCUAAAUAUUUAAUUAUAAGAUCUGCACUGAAAUGUUCUGGGCAUAAGUCAACAUUAUUGCACUCUAAAUGUAAACAAAGAUGGUGGACCAAGCGUUGUUUUAUAAUCUCUGGUAGUCGGUGUCAGUGUAUUAUUUAUAAGGUAUCAAUUAUUUAUUGUAAUAUUUAACCCUGAUUUAAAGUUACAGCCAAUAUUACAUCUAUUAUACACAAUUCAUUGAAUGCAUUUAUAUCACUACAAGUAAUGUUUCAUUUUCUAAACUUCACCAGAAAAUGAACAAAUAUCUGCAGAAAACAAUUUAGAUAUGUUUUAGAUAUAUGAUAAAGGAGUUAUUGAACUUAGAUUAGUGAAUAUUAACAUUCAAUGGAUGAAAAUAACUGCUCUGACACAAGCUUGCAAAUUUCUACACCCAACUCUUGCAAAUUUUCGCCAAUGUAGGAUCAAUAACCUUUUUGAUUUUAAACUUAAUGGAAUUAGAUAGUCAUUUAUUCAUAAUACACAAUGUUUCAAUGGAUACAUUGAGAAUAAUGUAUGAUUUUUUUUGUAUACCGCACUCCAAAUAAACUCCAGACUACGAUACCAGCCUUAGGGUAGAUAUGGGAUGUGUUAUGAAAAAAAGUAAUACAUGUACAAUGUUUUAUUAUAUUUAUCACACAUAGUGAUAACAUAUAUAUGAAAUUUAUUUAAACAAUUUAUUAUUUAAAAUAUGUUAAUAUUUCGUCUAAAGAUUUUUAUUUUUAUUUUGAAUGAAUAUAUGUACAUGUAAAAAGAAGAGUUUGAAAUGGAACUUUCAUUGUAUUGCACAUGUUAUUACUGAUUAUGUAAUACAGUAUUUUGUUAUUUUAGGACUCAAUAUUUUGUGUGGCUGCAGCGUUUGGGUGCUUCUACUACUGAACUUGUGUUUUAAAAAAAGAGGACGAUAUUCUACGAUUACGAACUAUGUGAUACAGAAUUUUACCAUGAAAGUAAAUUCUAGUAUUUGAUCUUGUAUCUAAAUGUGAAGUAUUGAAGAGAGAAGUUUUUUAAACUCUUUGAAUUUUAAUGGUGAUCAUAAUGACUGAUGGGACAAGUUAAUAUCUUGUUUAGGAAAUGAAAUAGGGACUUACCUCUAGGGAAGCAUAUCAUAAAUUGUUAAUAGUUCUCAUUUCAUAUUGUUUAUAAUUUAUUUGUAUUAAACAUUUGAAAAAAAACUAAA